This 465-nucleotide ribosomal RNA is filed under the name uncultured bacterium. RNAcentral's name for it is "partial 16S ribosomal RNA". It matches the Rfam family "Bacterial small subunit ribosomal RNA", at positions 28 to 507 of the family's 1533-position model. The record is from RNAcentral.
GACGAACGCUGGCGGCGUGCUUAACACAUGCAAGUCGAACGGAAAGGCCCCUUUGGGGGUACUCGAGCGGCGAACGGGGGAGGAACACGUGCGUAACCUGACCUUGACUUCGGGACAAGGACAGGAAACUGGGGCUAAUACCGGAUAGGGAUCCUUGCUGCAUGGGGGGGGUUGGAAAGCGACGGCGGGUUUUGAUGGACCUGCAGCAUAGCAGCGCGCUGGUGGGGUAGUGGGUUACCAAGGCGGUGGCGGGUAGCCAGCCUGAGGGGCCGACCGGCCACCUUGGGUCUGAGAUACGGCCCCGGCUCCUACUGUAGGCCGCAGUGGGGAAUCUUGCACGAUGGGCGGAACCCUGAUGCAGCAACGCCGCGUGCCGGAUGACGGCCUUCUGGUUGUAAACCGCUUUCAGCAGGGGCGAAGCUUGUGGUGACGGUACCUGCAGAAGAAGCACCGGCUAACUACGUG